GUGCUCGUUUCAGCAGCACAUACACUAAAAUUGGAAUGAUGCAGAGAAGAUUAGCAUGGCCCCUGCUUGAGGGUGACAUGCAAAUUGGUGAAGCAUUCCUUAAUUUU
This 107-nucleotide small nuclear RNA is filed under the name Zalophus californianus (California sea lion). Lineage: Eukaryota; Metazoa; Chordata; Mammalia; Carnivora; Otariidae. The record is from RNAcentral.